CUGGCUCAGAACGAACGCUGGCGGCAGGCCUAACACAUGCAAGUCGAGCGAGGACUUCGGUUCUAGCGGCGGACGGGUGAGUAACGCGUGGGAAUGUGCCCUUCUCUACGGAAUAGCCCUGGGAAACUGGGAGUAAUACCGUAUACGCCCUAUUGGGGAAAGAUUUAUCGGAGAAGGAUCAGCCCGCGUUGGAUUAGGUAGUUGGUGGGGUAAUGGCCUACCAAGCCGACGAUCCAUAGCUGGUUUGAGAGGAUGAUCAGCCACACUGGGACUGAGACACGGCCCAGACUCCUACGGGAGGCAGCAGUGGGGAAUCUUAGACAAUGGGGGCAACCCUGAUCUAGCCAUGCCGCGUGAGUGAUGAAGGCCUUAGGGUUGUAAAGCUCUUCAGCUGGGAAGAUAAUGACGGUACCAGCAGAG
Molecule: ribosomal RNA, 420 nt
Filed under: Paracoccus yeei
Lineage: Bacteria; Pseudomonadati; Pseudomonadota; Alphaproteobacteria; Rhodobacterales; Paracoccaceae
Description: bacterial SSU rRNA
Rfam family: Bacterial small subunit ribosomal RNA
Source: RNAcentral